Molecule: ribosomal RNA, 453 nt
Filed under: bacterium Urfc26
Lineage: Bacteria
Description: bacterial SSU rRNA
Rfam family: Bacterial small subunit ribosomal RNA
Source: RNAcentral
GGCGGCGUGCCUAAUACAUGCAAGUCGAGCGAACAGACGAGGAGCUUGCUCCUCUGACGUUAGCGGCGGACGGGUGAGUAACACGUGGAUAACCUACCUAUAAGACUGGGAUAACUUCGGGAAACCGGAGCUAAUACCGGAUAAUAUAUUGAACCGCAUGGUUCAAUAGUGAAAGACGGUUUUGCUGUCACUUAUAGAUGGAUCCGCGCCGCAUUAGCUAGUUGGUAAGGUAACGGCUUACCAAGGCAACGAUGCGUAGCCGACCUGAGAGGGUGAUCGGCCACACUGGAACUGAGACACGGUCCAGACUCCUACGGGAGGCAGCAGUAGGGAAUCUUCCGCAAUGGGCGAAAGCCUGACGGAGCAACGCCGCGUGAGUGAUGAAGGUCUUCGGAUCGUAAAACUCUGUUAUUAGGGAAGAACAAAUGUGUAAGUAACUAUGCACGUCUGACG